GAUUUGCCUUUUGUCCAGCCACUCAACCUCUUGAGCCCCAUUUCCUUAUCUGCCAGAGACAGUGAAUUUCGCCUUAGGGUUGGUUGCGGGGAGAAAUGAAGCCAGGCAACUGUGAGGCCUGGCCUCUAACAGGCCAGCUCAUGCCAACAACCAAAUGGAUUACCCCAGCCAACUGCCCCCAUCAUCUCUGAAUCCUACAUUCUGCCCCUGUCGUGGACUUCUCCUCACUUUUAGCUGGCUGUCUCCAGAACUUUUUCUCACCUGGUAGCUGCGUCUGUGGCCCUAGAUCCUGUUGUUCGUGAUGAGAGCACUGACACUCAGAGGGAUUACAUCACUUGUCCAGACCACACAGCUGGGAUGUUGCAGAGCUGGAGUCAAUACUGAGUAUUUCUGUGUCUUACAGUCCUUGCCCUUUGCAAAUCGUGAAAAUUAAAAAGAUAAUGGACGUGACAGACUUUGUACCAAUAUAACAGUCUUAUUAAAAUAACUUUUUCAAAAUAAUUCCGUGUUUCCUGGCCUCCAUCUGCCAAGGCAAGCCAGUAUUCCAUGUCAAAUCUCCUCUAAGAAGUCCUCAGGAUCUCUGGGGGUGUCUUAUCUGCAUUCCAGAACUAGUCCUGCCAGUUGCCAUGUGACCUUACCAUUGCUAACCCUGAUUGAGUAGACUCUUACAGUGUUCCUAGCAUCUGGACUAGCCUUUAACACGCACGAUUUCAUACACAUGUCCACACACCCCUAAACAAACAAAUGAACAAGCGUAUAUAUAUUUAAGUAUAUGUGUGUGUGUGUGCUGUGCUCAGUUGCUCAGUCGUCUCCGACUCUUUGCAACCCUAUAGAUUGUAGCCUGCCAGGUUCCUCUGCCCAUGGGAUUCUCCAGGCAAGAAUACUGGAGUGGGUUGCCAUGCCCUUCUCCAGGGGAUCUUCCUGACCCAGGGACUGAACCCGCGUCUCUUGGGCCUCCUGCAUUGGCAGGUGGAUUCUUGACCACUAGCACCACCUGACAUGUAAAAUAUUGCUGCUACUUCACACAGAGAGGUGCUGAC
This is a long non-coding RNA of Bos taurus (domestic cattle), 1040 nucleotides long. Lineage: Eukaryota; Metazoa; Chordata; Mammalia; Artiodactyla; Bovidae. The record is from Ensembl.